Long non-coding RNA from Triticum dicoccoides, 721 nucleotides. RefSeq lists it as uncharacterized. The record is from RefSeq and is a predicted model, not a curated record. Lineage: Eukaryota; Viridiplantae; Streptophyta; Magnoliopsida; Poales; Poaceae. The transcript is spliced from 4 exons.
AACAUAGAGGAAAGCCUAACUUAUCUGUUCUCCACCUCUUGUGUUGAGGUGGAGAUAUUUCCCGAUGCCUCCCAUUCCUAUCGUCCUUAUGCGCUCCUUCCUCUUCCUUUUUGUUUGCUAAAUCGCUUUAGCAGAAAAACAGAACAUAUAUGUGCAUAUAUUCAGGUGAUGUGUGAUGUCCACUAUGAGACGGGAAGAGGAAAAAAAGAGGGCCUAAGAGCGGUGGGCAUGGGACAUGAUGGAAAGCUAAAGACCUCAGUUCCUCGUCUAACACUGAAUUGGACUGGACUGGAACCGGUUUCCUUGUAGCACCCCUCGCCUAGUGCCAAGGCCCUCACUGGAAGUAGUGCACUGUAAAUCCUCCAGAACUGGUGCUAUCUGAUCAAGUGUCAUUGCUGCACCUCCUUCCUUUUGUCCUAGUUUCUCCAAAAUACCAUUUAUUGAUGAUGUCACUGAAAAAGAUAUGCUCAUCUUUCUGCAAUAAAGUUCGCUUGUAUUCGGAUUAUAACAUGCUCUAAUGGAUUGGGGGAUUUUGAAGUGCACAAGUACUCAAUCCUCAGGGGUGCAUAUGAACCUAGGUUCAGAGUACAUAUAUGAAUAAGUGAGAAAAUACAAAAUGUUAAUCGUUCAGGAAAAUCUUAACAAUAUUUGUAUUUUGUCAAACAUAGUAGUCCAAUAAUGUAAUAUGGACCCUUGACACUCCUAAUAAGUGUGAGGAUCA